RNAcentral lists this ribosomal RNA (446 nucleotides) under uncultured bacterium. RNAcentral describes it as "partial 16S ribosomal RNA". It matches the Rfam family "Bacterial small subunit ribosomal RNA", at positions 338 to 795 of the family's 1533-position model. The record is from RNAcentral.
CCUACGGGUGGCAGCAGUCGAGAAUCAUUCACAAUGGGGGAAACCCUGAUGGUGCGACGCCGCGUGGGGGAAUGAAGGUCUUCGGAUUGUAAACCCCUGUCAUGUGGGAGCAAAUUAACAAGAUAGUACCACAAGAGGAAGAGACGGCUAACUCUGUGCCAGCAGCCGCGGUACUACAGAGGUCUCAAGCGUUGUUCGGAAUCACUGGGCGUAAAGCGUGCGUAGGCUGUUUCGUAAGUCGUGUGUGAAAGGCGCGGGCUCAACCCGCGGACGGCACAUGAUACUGGGAGGCUAGAGUAAGGGGAGGGGAAGCGGAAUUCGCGGUGUAGCAGUGAAAUGCGUAGAUAUCGAGAAGAACACGCGUGGCGAAGGCAGGUUCCUGGAGAGUAACUGACGCUGAGGCACGAAGGCGAGGGGAGCGAAAGGGAUUAGAUACCCUAGUAGUC